Molecule: ribosomal RNA, 468 nt
Filed under: uncultured bacterium
Lineage: Bacteria
Description: partial 16S ribosomal RNA
Rfam family: Bacterial small subunit ribosomal RNA
Source: RNAcentral
GACGAACGCUGGCGGCGUGCUUAACACAUGCAAGUCGAACGGAAAGGCCCUGCUUUUGUGGGGUGCUCGAGUGGCGAACGGGUGAGUAACACGUGAGUAACCUGCCCCUGACAUUGGGAUAACUUCAGGAAACUGGGGCUAAUACCGGGUAGGAGCUCCUGCUGCAUGGUGGGGGAUGGAAAGUUUCGGCGGUUGGGGAUGGACUCGCGGCUUAUCAGCUUGUUGGUGGGGUAGUGGCUUACCAAGGCUUUGACGGGUAGCCGGCCUGAGAGGGUGACCGGCCACAUUGGGACUGAGAUACGGCCCAGACUCCUACGGGAGGCAGCAGUGGGGAAUAUUGCACAAUGGGCGGAAGCCUGAUGCAGCAACGCCGCGUGCGGGAUGACGGCCUUCGGGUUGUAAACCGCUUUCGCCUGUGACGAAGCGUGAGUGACGGUAAUGGGUAAAGAAGCACCGGCUAACUACGUG